Molecule: long non-coding RNA, 686 nt
Organism: Zingiber officinale
Lineage: Eukaryota; Viridiplantae; Streptophyta; Magnoliopsida; Zingiberales; Zingiberaceae
Exons: 4
Source: RefSeq, a predicted model, not a curated record
UGGGGUUAGGAGAUGAUGAUCAGGGUAUUGAGGAUGACUUCUCUGCAUGGAGGGAGCUUCUUUGGCCGGAGUUGGAUAAGUUACUUCAGGAUGAAAAUGAGACAGGUGCAUCUACUCCUUAUACAGCUGCCAUUCCUGAAUACCGGGUUGUAUUUGUCAAGCUUGAAGAAGUUCCAUAUCUGGAAAAAAGUUUGAAUUUUGCAAAUGGCCAUGCUAUUCAUGACAUACAACAUCCAUGCAGGUAGAGAUGCUCUUUACAAAGACAAAUCUGUUGGGUUACUCUACAAGCCUUUGUUGUCAUUGCUAGUCUUUUGACAUCCUUUGGUAUUCAUGCUAGCCUCUUGGUUCAUCUUCAAGUCAGAUGUAUAUGAAUGCUUACUCUGUGAUGCCAAAAUUUGACUGUCUUGCACACAGUUUUAUGGAAGGUGGCUGGAAAACUAAUCAUGCCAAAACCAAAGGGCUUAACAUCUGAGAUUAAAAAAGCUCCGUCAUCUGGACUUAAGUGGUCCUUUUCUCCUGGGACUAACCUGCUAUCAGGUGGUGCUGCAAAACUUGAAAAAGAGUCUAGGCAAAAACUAAAUGAGUUUUCCAAGGAACUUAGAACAUUCAGAAGUGUUGACUUGUCAGGUCGUAACUUUGGUGAUGAUGGUCUGUUUUUUCUUGCUAAAAGCCUUGGUUACAACAUG